AUGGAGAGGAGCUACACAAGCCACACCACUCCUGAUCUCUGUCAACCUUUCUGGCCAGUUUAGAUGAAAUGACUGGGCAUACAGAGCCUGGCCCCUUCUUCACCUCUUUUUCCUUUUGGGAGCCCAGCCUCUCUCCAUAGUGCAGAUGUUGCUAGGCUGUGGGUGCACUGCAAGAGCAGGUUCCAUAGGUGGGAGGCUAGUCUUCAUCUAGCAGUGUUAAAGAUGGGAGGCUGGGAGCAGG
RNAcentral lists this unclassified non-coding RNA (241 nucleotides) under uncultured bacterium. Its description in RNAcentral is "contains 16S-23S intergenic spacer region". The record is from RNAcentral.